ACACGACUCUCGGCAACGGAUAUCUCGGCUCUCGCAUCGAUGAAGAACGUAGCGAAAUGCGAUACCUGGUGUGAAUUGCAGAAUCCCGCGAACCAUCGAGUCUUUGAACGCAAGUUGCGCCCGAGACCAUUCGGUCGAGGGCACGCCUGUCUGGGCGUCACGC
RNAcentral lists this ribosomal RNA (163 nucleotides) under Briza maxima. RNAcentral's name for it is "5.8S ribosomal RNA". It matches the Rfam family "5.8S ribosomal RNA". Rfam says of the family: 5.8S ribosomal RNA (5.8S rRNA) is a component of the large subunit of the eukaryotic ribosome. The record is from RNAcentral. Lineage: Eukaryota; Viridiplantae; Streptophyta; Magnoliopsida; Poales; Poaceae.